RNAcentral lists this ribosomal RNA (497 nucleotides) under uncultured bacterium. Its description in RNAcentral is "partial 16S ribosomal RNA". It matches the Rfam family "Bacterial small subunit ribosomal RNA", at positions 28 to 507 of the family's 1533-position model. The record is from RNAcentral.
GAUGAACGCUGGCGGCGUGCCUAAUACAUGCAAGUCGAGCGAACAGAUAAGGAGCUUGCUCCUUUGACGUUAGCGGCGGACGGGUGAGUAACACGUGGGUAACCUACCUAUAAGACUGGGAUAACUUCGGGAAACCGGAGCUAAUACCGGAUAAUAUUUCGAACCGCAUGGUUCGAUAGUGAAAGAUGGUUUUGCUAUCACUUAUAGAUGGACCCGCGCCGUAUUAGCUAGUUGGUAAGGUAACGGCUUACCAAGGCGACGAUACGUAGCCGACCUGAGAGGGUGAUCGGCCACACUGGAACUGAGACACGGUCCAGACUCCUACGGGAGGCAGCAGUAGGGAAUCUUCCGCAAUGGGCGAAAGCCUGACGGAGCAACGCCGCGUGAGUGAUGAAGGUCUUCGGAUCGUAAAACUCUGUCAUUAGGGAAGAACAUACGUGUAAGUAACUGUGCACGUCUUGACGGUACCUAAUCAGAAAGCCACGGCUAACUACGUG